AUGAUCUCCCAGACUCAGUUUCUCUGGCUCCUUGUGCUCUGCAUUCAGGACUCCAGUGGGCAGAUCGUGCUGACUCAGACUCCAGAAUCCCUGGCAGUGUCUCCUGGAGACACAGUCACUAUCCGCUGCAAAGCCAGUUCCAGUGUAAGCUACAUGGCCUGGUACCAACAGAAAUCAGGACAAGUGCCAAAGCUCCUUAUCUACGAUGCUUCCAGCCGUCCCUCUGGGAUCCCAGACCGGUUCAGCGGCAGUGGGUCAGGCACUGACUACACAUUCACCAUCAGCCGGGUUGAAGCGGGUGAUGCUGGAGAUUAUUACUGUCAGAGUUACUACAGUAGCUCUCUCACACAGUGA
Molecule: non-coding RNA, 354 nt
Organism: Pelodiscus sinensis (Chinese soft-shelled turtle)
Lineage: Eukaryota; Metazoa; Chordata; Testudines; Trionychidae
Source: the annotation of a RefSeq genome assembly